RNAcentral lists this ribosomal RNA (353 nucleotides) under uncultured bacterium. RNAcentral describes it as "bacterial SSU rRNA". It matches the Rfam family "Bacterial small subunit ribosomal RNA", at positions 8 to 350 of the family's 1533-position model. The record is from RNAcentral.
AGAGUUUGAUCCUGGCUCAGGAUGAACGCUAGCUACAGGCUUAACACAUGCAAGUCGAGGGGAAACGGACAUCGAAAGCUUGCUUUUGAUGGGCGUCGACCGGCGCACGGGUGAGUAACGCGUAUCCAACCUGCCCACCACUUGGGGAUAACCUUGCGAAAGUAAGACUAAUACCCAAUGAUAUCUCUAGAAGACAUCUGAAAGAGAUUAAAGAUUUAUCGGUGAUGGAUGGGGAUGCGUCUGAUUAGCUUGUUGGCGGGGUAACGGCCCACCAAGGCGACGAUCAGUAGGGGUUCUGAGAGGAAGGUCCCCCANAUUGGAACUGAGACACGGUCCAAACUCCUACGGAGGCA